GACGAACGCUGGCGGCGUGCCUAAUACAUGCAAGUCGAGCGGACGAAUCGGAAGCUUGCUUUUGAUUCGUUAGCGGCGGACGGGUGAGUAACACGUGGGCAACCUGCCCUGUAGACGGGGAUAACACCGAGAAAUCGGUGCUAAUACCGGAUAACACGAAAUGUCGCAUGACGUUUCGUUGAAAGACGGCUCACGCUGUCGCUACAGGAUGGGCCCGCGGCGCAUUAGCUAGUUGGUGAGGUAACGGCUCACCAAGGCGACGAUGCGUAGCCGACCUGAGAGGGUGAUCGGCCACACUGGGACUGAGACACGGCCCAGACUCCUACGGGAGGCAGCAGUAGGGAAUCUUCCGCAAUGGACGAAAGUCUGACGGAGCAACGCCGCGUGAGCGAAGAAGGCCUUCGGGUCGUAAAGCUCUGUUGUUAGGGAAGAACAAGUAACGCAGUAACUGGCGUUACCGUGACGGUACCUAACGAGAAAGCCACGGCUAACUACGUG
Molecule: ribosomal RNA, 498 nt
Filed under: uncultured bacterium
Lineage: Bacteria
Description: partial 16S ribosomal RNA
Rfam family: Bacterial small subunit ribosomal RNA
Source: RNAcentral